UUUAAAGAGAGUUUGAUCCUGGCUCAGGACGAACGCUGGCGGCGUGCCUAAUACAUGCAAGUCGAACGAACGGAGGAAGAGCUUGCUCUUCCAAAGUUAGUGGCGGACGGGUGAGUAACACGUGGGCAACCUGCCUGUAAGUUGGGGAUAACUCCGGGAAACCGGGGCUAAUACCGAAUGAUAAAGUGUGGCGCAUGCCACGCUUUUGAAAGAUGGUUUCGGCUAU
This 226-nucleotide ribosomal RNA is filed under the name Listeria monocytogenes. RNAcentral's name for it is "partial 16S ribosomal RNA". It matches the Rfam family "Bacterial small subunit ribosomal RNA", at positions 1 to 221 of the family's 1533-position model. The record is from RNAcentral. Lineage: Bacteria; Bacillati; Bacillota; Bacilli; Caryophanales; Listeriaceae.